GUGGGGAAUAUUGGACAAUGGGCGAAAGCCUGAUCCAGCCAUGCCGCGUGUGUGAAGAAGGUCUUCGGAUUGUAAAGCACUUUAAGUUGGGAGGAAGGGCAGUAAGUUAAUACCUUGCUGUUUUGACGUUACCGACAGAAUAAGCACCGGCUAACUUCGUGCCAGCAGCCGCGGUAAUACGAAGGGUGCAAUCGUUAAUCGGAAUUACUGGGCGUAAAGCGCGUGUAGGCUGACAUGCAAGUCGGGUGUGAAAUCCCAGGGCUCAACCUUGGAACUGCACUCGAAACUGCACGUCUUGAGUACUGGAGAGGGAAGCGGAAUUCCGGGUGUAGAGGUGAAAUUCGUAGAUAUCCGGAGGAACACCAGUGGCGAAGGCGGCUUCCUGGACAGUAACUGACGCUGAGACGCGAAAGCGUGGGGAGCAAACAGGAUUAGAUACCCGAGUAGUCC
RNAcentral lists this ribosomal RNA (450 nucleotides) under uncultured bacterium. RNAcentral describes it as "partial 16S ribosomal RNA". It matches the Rfam family "Bacterial small subunit ribosomal RNA", at positions 354 to 796 of the family's 1533-position model. The record is from RNAcentral.